AACGCUGGCGGCGUGCCUAAUACAUGCAAGUCGAACGCUUCACUUCGGUGAAGAGUGGCGAACGGGUGAGUAAUACAUAAGUAACCUGGCAUCUACAGGGGGAUAACUGAUGGAAACGUCAGCUAAGACCGCAUAGGUGUAGAGAUCGCAUGAACUCUAUAUGAAAAGUGCUACGGGACUGGUAGAUGAUGGACUUAUGGCGCAUUAGCUUGUUGGUAGGGUAACGGCCUACCAAGGCGACGAUGCGUAGCCGACCUGAGAGGGUGACCGGCCACACUGGGACUGAGACACGGCCCAGACUCCUACGGGAGGCAGCAGUAGGGAAUUUUCGGCAAUGGGGGAAACCCUGACCGAGCAACGCCGCGUGAAGGAAGAAGUAAUUCGUUAUGUAAACUUCUGUCAUAGAGGAAGAACGGUGGAUAUAGGGAAUGAUAUCCAAGUGACGGUACUCUAUAAGAAAGCCACGGCUAACUACGUGCCAGCAGCCGCGGUAAUACGUAGGUGGCGAGCGUUAUCCGGAAUUAUUGGGCGUAAAGAGGGAGCAGGCGGCACUAAGGGUCUGUGGUGAAAGAUCGAAGCUUAACUUCGGUAAGCCAUGGAAACCGUAGAGCUAGAGUGUGUGAGAGGAUCGUGGAAUUCCAUGUGUAGCGGUGAAAUGCGUAGAUAUAUGGAGGAACACCAGUGGCGAAGGCGACGAUCUGGCGCAUAACUGACGCUCAGUCCCGAAAGCGUGGGGAGCAAAUAGGAUUAGAUACCCUAGUAGUCCACGCCGUAAACGAUGAGUACUAAGUGUUGGGUGUCAAAGCUCAGUGCUGCAGUUAACGCAAUAAGUACUCCGCCUGAGUAGUACGAUCGCAAGGAUGAAAC
Molecule: ribosomal RNA, 867 nt
Filed under: human gut metagenome
Description: bacterial SSU rRNA
Rfam family: Bacterial small subunit ribosomal RNA
Source: RNAcentral